UUUGCCAGUUUUCUCAGGUAAAGGAGCAUUAUAAGACUCAGAAAAUAUGACUGUGUCUUUUUCAGGUUAGUUCAAGACUUCAGGUCCGUAUCAGAGAAGUACGGUCCUUUGAUCAUUUUCAAAUUUCCAUGAAAAUGCUUCCUAUCCUCCCCAAGAACUUCCUAAAACUGAGGCCUUCUCUAGAUGUUUUUUUUCCAAGAGGUAUGAACUAGAGGAAUUGUCAGCAAGCAAUACCAGUCAGCAAAACACAUGGAUUUGGUGGUGUAUAAUACUUGAUGAUGCACAAAAUCUUAAUAUUCUAAACCUUAACCAGUGUUAAAAACAGUAUUAUUCUGACUAUCUUAACUUGAUAUUUCUAACACACUGGAGUUUCUUAAGAGGAAAAAAAAAAAUCUUUACUGACUUUCUCCCUUUCUCAUCACAUACUGAACAGGGUAUUUGCUGUGAUUAGUUCAAAGUUAUUCAAGCAUUGUUUUAAACUUUAGUGGGCUAGUAAGAACCCCACUGAUGAUCUAGUAACAGAGCAGCAUUAUUAUUAUUAUAAAUGAAUACAUUAUUACUGCAUUUUUUCUUUGUCUUUAAAGGAAACACACUUUACAGAAGCAACUUCUCAUAAAGAUUGCCAAAGCUUGGCGCCCCUACCUUUCCCACUCAUUCAUCCUGUUUUGGGCCCAGCACUGAGCUCCUGUGAUUGGCUUAUAUUCUUAAAACCAGGAAGCAUGAUGCCCAGCAGAUUUCUAGCCUGUCUGAUCCUGCCCCAGUGCUUGGUAACCAAGUCCUAUGUUACUGAUUGUUGUCUAUUUUACCAUGCCUCCUGGUUCCAGACCCUGGCUACAAACUGUUUUUUUUUUUUAAAUAUUCCUAAUAAACUUUUGCUUUAAGAUGUGAAUUUACUAUAAUAAGAGGAUCUUGACAGUAAUAGUUUUAUUUUCUUAUUAAUGCAAAAGUUAAACUACUGACCACAGAGCUGCAAUAUGGACUCUUCCUAUGGCUAUGAAUGUAUAUAAGAGUAAAACACUAUCUUAUGUCUUUUAUCAUAAUAAACCCCUCUUUACCAUAUAGAAUUUAUAAUGG
Molecule: long non-coding RNA, 1074 nt
Filed under: Felis catus (domestic cat)
Lineage: Eukaryota; Metazoa; Chordata; Mammalia; Carnivora; Felidae
Description: lncRNA (ENSFCAG00000046324.2)
Source: RNAcentral